RNA transcript from Cebus imitator (Panamanian white-faced capuchin), 1014 nucleotides. RefSeq lists it as uncharacterized. The transcript has 3 exons. The record is from RefSeq and is a predicted model, not a curated record. NCBI's taxonomy places the organism in Eukaryota, Metazoa, Chordata, Mammalia, Primates, Cebidae.
AUGUCAAGGCUGGCCGCCAGCCUCAGCUGUCCCGCAGAGGACGGGCUGGACCUCACAGUAUUGGGACCUGGGCUCUGUGGAAACUGGGAGAGGCUGGACACAGUGAGCCUGGCAGGAUCGCGUCCGCAUGUGAAGGAUGGAGUGUCUGCGGCGGAUGGAGCAGGACCGGACAGCUGUGGUCAGCUGGAUGUCCAUUCUGAGUACCUGAGCUGGGACAGAGCCAGGAGGAAGGUGGGCAGCCGGUGCCGCCAUGCACUUGUCUUUCCCAGUCACCUGGAACUCAUCCACAAAGAAGGAUGUCAAUGUCUCUGGCAAAAAUGGUCAUUUACGACAGUGUGCUGUGUACCGGGGGUUUUCCCUUGUGUAUUUCAUCAUACAAAAGACUUAUUCCAGGAGUUUAUAUUACAAGUUGGCAUCGGAGCAGCUGCAGAACCAACCCGAGGCACAGGAAGCUCUGGACCCUCCUGUCAACAUCCACUAUCUCAAGCUCACGGGCAAGGACAACUUUGUGGACAUUGCUGAUGCCAAGUUGAAGAUUCCUGUCUCUGGAUCCAAAUCAGAGGGUCAUCUCCACGUCCACUCAACCAGGAGUGGCCCCUGUCAGAGGUGGCACCUUGACUAGGUCUUAGAGCUCAAGGAUGGUCAGCAGAUUCCUGUGUUCAACCUCAGUGGGGAAAAUGGUGAUGAAGUGAAAAAGGAGUAGAGAAGACCCAGAAGACCCAGCUUGCUUCUAGUCCAGCCUUUCCUCAUCUUCACCAUCUGCCCACUGGUGUGGUGGCCCAUCUGAGUGACAGAUACUCCUGCAAGCCAGUUUUUCAGCCACCAGUAGGAUGACUGUAUGUGCCAUCAUAUGGUAAUUUUGGUAUAACUCUAACUUGGGCACAACAAAUGCUAUUUGUCAUUUUUAAACUGAAUCAGAAAGAAACUCUUAUAAAUUUAAGAUGAUUUAUUUGAAAGUGAUUUGUAUAAAAAUGCACACGAUAAAAGGAAUCAGAAUUUAAAAAAAAGUUCGUU